CUGAGUCUUCAAUCAUCAUGGGGAGGACAUAGUUAGAUAUAUUUCAUAAACAAAACCUUAAUAGUUGAACGAGGCCUGAUGGCACAAUGAUGACAAUACACAUUGAUAAAUAGCGGGACAUAUAGCACAAUUGCGAUGGUGGUACAGACAUUAUUCAGCUGACGUACCAAACAUGAGUGCGCACAUAUGUGUGCAUGCACACACAAACACAGCCUUAUUUAGUUUAUUACAAGAAGCAGAGAGAGCACAUUGUUUUCCUCCUUAAUUAUCUUUAUCGGUUUUCACUUGCCCAAGCAAGUCCUUUAGUCCGUCCUUACCAUCCCCCAAGCCACUCUUAUUGUUCACCUUUUUAUCAUUGCUCAAUUCCUUUGGGCUUUGGAACUUGAUUUCAUUGCUCACAGAUUGUGUAUCCUCUUUCGAUGACUUUUUCUCACCUGCGGGGUUAUCUUCUCUUUCUUCCUCCUCCUUGAAGUCUAGAAUGGCAAUGUUCUCUGGAAUAACAGAAGGAACUCUUCUGUGGCUCCACCGAGACAUUCUUACUACACUUCUAAAGCCUCCAAAGACUAUUGUCUAAAUAAAGAAGAAUUUGGUGAGCAGCUACCUCAGUUUUGUGAUGG
RNAcentral lists this long non-coding RNA (617 nucleotides) under Setaria viridis. RNAcentral describes it as "long non-coding RNA (SVIR_LNC004607)". The record is from RNAcentral. Lineage: Eukaryota; Viridiplantae; Streptophyta; Magnoliopsida; Poales; Poaceae.